This 9301-nucleotide long non-coding RNA is filed under the name Cucumis sativus (cucumber). RNAcentral's name for it is "long non-coding RNA (CSAT_LNC000101)". The record is from RNAcentral. Lineage: Eukaryota; Viridiplantae; Streptophyta; Magnoliopsida; Cucurbitales; Cucurbitaceae.
CUAAAGAAUGGUACUCCCACCAGAAGAAAAAUUGCAGGUGGGGUUGGCUAUGAGAAUUGGUAGAAGGGAAUAGAAAGUUGGGUUUUACAUUAAAUCUACAGUAAUCUAUUAUAUAAACAUUUGGUUCUAUCUCAAAAUUAGUUAACAAUAAUGGAAGUAAUCUAUGUAUCUUAUAAUGAUAUAAAGAUCGUGAAAAUUUUCAUCUUCUAUCAAUGUAAGAUUUUCAAAAUGGUGUAGUGUUUCCUCGUUGUAUCCUUCUUGGAUCAAUUUACUUUUUUUGUAUGAAUAUCGUUGUAGGUUUCAUACACUACAGUACCAUAUUAGAUAAACCAUGAAGUUCUAUCUAUAAAAUAAAAAAAAAUCUAAGUCUUUAUCCAAAAAUAGUGAAUUUGAAGAAACAUACCACUUAGAUGAUAUUUUAAAUGAGAAAACAUCACAAUUUUAAUAAAAUCCAUUGGCCACUCCUCUCAAUUUCUAAUUAGUUUUUAGAUGGAAUCUCACACUUUCUAAUGUAGUAUUAAUGCUUAUUUUCUAACAAGUCACAAUUAACGAACAAAUUUAUGAAUCCUAAAUUUGUAUUUAAUCAAGCAAAAACGAGCUAAGCUAAGUUGUAUAUUAGCACAAUUUUAUCGUUAGAGGUGGAAGUUUCUAUCCACAUCCUCUAAAUUGUUGUGGAAAAAUUAAGUAUUACAUAAAAGAAGAAUAUCCACUCCAACGUUAUGGUAAAGCAACUCUACUUGGUACUUUAAUCAUGUUAGAAGAAAAGCAUGAAAAGUUACCCUCUAAAAAUCUGUGCUCUUAACAUUUUCCUCUCUAGAAGGUUUGGCCUUAUUUUUGGUCUACCGAAUUUGAAUCAGGACACUUCUUUCCUUCUUUCCUCUAUGAAUAAUGAAGAACAACAGGUUGCCUUGUUAGGAGUGUGUUGCUUAGUCUUUAAUGUUUUGCAACAGAAGUGAGCAACUUCUUUGUGCUCAAUAUAUCCUUGUCUUUAGAGGAAGCCUAAGCUAGCCUUGCCUGUUAUAGAUUGAGAAAAUGUUAGAAAUAGACAGACAAAAGUUUGUAAUGGUAACUUUUAGCCAAAAAAAAGAAAUUGUGAUGAUAUUGCUUCUAUGGCCCCGUAAGUACAAAAAUGUUAGAUAGGCAAUUUCUCCAUUGAAGGUGUUUGCAAAAAUAGCAAUUUUUUUUUUAAUGAUAAUAAGAGGUAUGUCACUACACAUUUUAUAAAUCGUAAAUGUAGCAAAUUGAAAUGCGGAUAACUCUCUAAUAGUCCUCUAAUAGCCAUAUGAUAUAUUAAUUAAUUACUAGUUAUAUUUGCAAUAUGAAAAAAAAAAUGUUUUGAAUUGUUUUUUUCAAAAUUUUCUUGAGAGCGGACUCAAUUUCCCCUUUUGAGACGAAGGUAUUAGAGUUUGGAGAAAAGAAAAUGGUAAAGAGGAGAUCACACAAUUUUGAAUGAUUGAAGUGUAAAUUUAAAACAAACUAUAUAUAUAUAUCUUAGUCUUAAAAAGAUUAAAAUUAAUAAGCAAAUAGGUAUCAAAUGAAUACAAUUUGUAAAAUAUUUCUAUACGAAUAUGUGCACAUAUGGGAAAAGAAUAAAAAUAAGAGAUGAAUUAUUUUGUUAUAUUGUGCAAAAUAGUUCAAUAUUUUGAAGAAUAAAAUUAUAAAUAAAUUGGAAUUUUAAGCAAUAAAAAUGGAUUAAUUUAAUAAAAAAUAAGAUUGAAACACUUAACAUUAUUAGACGUUGGACUAAACCUGAAUAAAACUGAUCACCCAUUGACCACUGUGUCAACUUGCAGUUUGGAAACACAAAUUUUCAAUCUAUAUAUAAACACAAAUUUUUAACAUUUUAUAGAAAACAAUCUAUUUAUAUACUAAACGACCCGAUGUGGUGGGGGCAGGUGGCCCUUGCCUCUUCAUAGAUCCCGACUUCAUAAGAAUUACUCCAAAUCUCAAUUUUGAGAUGAUGGUUGUUUUGAGCUUUGGAAGAGAUUUCUGAUGUUGAAUGAAGUUAAUUAGAAAUGCAGCUACAGCCAUUUCUCGUGAAAAAUAUGGUUAUCUGUCUAAUCUAUCUACCCAAUGACAGGUUUCUAUCAACAUAAAAAGAGGCCAAAACAAAGGACGAUUUCAGGACCGUUUUUUGCAGGACACUGUAUGAGCGAUGUUUUGUUUAAUCAAAUCAAUAUGGGAUUUCUUGGAUUUCUUGGAUUUUUUUCUUUUUCUGUUUUUUAAUACAUAAUAUUUUUUUGUUGGAAAAUGCAUUUGAUUCCUUUUUUCCUUUUGUUUACACAAAUCAUAUGACUAAGUAUCUCCUAUGGUCAGCGACGCAUAUGAUCACGAUGCCCAAGUUGCAAUCCUAGUAAUCAUACUAUCAAAUCAUAAUAUAUUUGGUGCAAUAUGACGAGUGUUAAACAUUUUUAAUGUCACAUUUCUAUAAAGUGAUUUAAAAGUGAGUUGCUCAAACUAUUAAAACAUGUUUAACAUUAUUUAAUUUUUAAAUAAGUUUUGUUAGAUCGACCUAUUGAAUGAUCAUUUGUCACCAAAAUAUGGCAAAAGGAAAAAAAAACUAAUUAAAGAUAAAGAAUUUUUUUUUUGUUAGAUUGGGAAAUUAAUGUAUGGAGAGAGAGAACAAAAAUACCAAAGAGAGGAUAUAAAUUUGGAGAGGGAAAGUAUAUUUAGUGGGAACGUGAUCACAAAACUCUUUGAAACGUGGAGCGAUGAAAACUAAAGGGAUUGUUUGGUCCAUGAGUUUGGAAUCAGGGAGGUUUGGUACUUGAAGCAUACAAUUUUCGUUUACUGAUGUUAUUAUGAACCAUACCAUUUUCGUUUAGGAUCCAUCUCUCAGCUUGCUGGGACCAUUAUUCACUGCAAUAGGAGGGAGAUCAUUUUCUAUGUUCUGCCUGAUAAUUGAUUCUCUGUCAUUCAUCCGUCCUCUCGGCACGAUGCUCUAAUCAUUUAUGCUAAUAUUGAAAGGAUGAAAGCCCUAUGGCAGCAGAAUAAUUUAAAGAAUCAUUUUUCAAAUUAAUUUGGAAAUCUUAAAAUACCGGUACAUUGGCAAAAUUUUAGAAUCAAAAUUCUAAAUAAAUUCUAAGUAUGCUUUUAAAGAAUAAGAUACAAUAACUUACUUUCGAUGACGUCUCUGAAUUUACAAAUCAAUCUCCAAAUUAGGACAUCACCCGUCGGAGACUUUCCUAUCAUUUGGGAUGAGAUUGGUUUGUGUGAACCAAUUGAGAUGGAAAAAUACUUGGAGAUAUUUGAGAGAAACUCUUUUUUCUCUCAAUUUGCAUUGUUUUUUUUUCUUAAUGAAUUUUGUUUUAAGAAAACUGUUUUCUUUUAAAUAUUUAUAUUUCUAUAUCCCUCUUAGAAUAGAAAAAGAAAGAAGUAGGAGAAUCAUCAGAUUCUUAAUAUCAAAUCUAUUAAUUAAUUAACAUUUAAUCAAUUAGUUAAUAAUUAAUUAUUAUUUCAUUCAAAUCUUAUUUGAAUAAAUAUCUCUCAAAUAUCUUAUACAUUUAUAUUAAUAUAAAUAAAAUAAAAUAAAAUAAAAUAAUUAAUUAAUCCUCCAAUUAAUUAAUAGCUAAAUAUUUAACUUAAAUUAAGUUUGAAUCAUAUUCAAAUAUAAGCUUCUCGUAACAAUUUUAAUAUGAAUCCAAUUCACAUUAAAUUAAUAUUUAAACUCGUUCAAAUAUUUUAUCUCUCAUAAAUUAAUUUUGAAUCAUAUCCAAAAUUAAAUUUAUAUAAUGAAGUUUCACAAACUUUAUAUUAUAAUGUAUCACUAUACAUUAAACUAAUUCCCUAAGUAAAUUUAAACAAUUCAAAUUACAGCCAAUAUAAAUAAAUCUUAUUACUCUUUACGAGCUAGGAAGGGGGCCUAAUGGACCUACAGAUCAAAAGCUACAACGAUUUGAGAUUAAUUGGCUAAACUCAUUAACUAUGUUAAUCAAUAUUCGUUAACUGUGUGUACACUCCACUAAAGACUCACAACUGAACUCUUCUCACUAUAGUAAUAUUUAUGUGUCAACGGAUAUAGACCAAUAGCAGUAAGUUAGUCAUUCAUGAGUGUUCGUAACACCAGUUGGGUCAAUUUACCGUUUUACCCCUAGGUUACGUCUAAUCCUUAAAUACCAGUGCUCCUCCAAUGAACAACCUGUUUAUGGUCCUACCAAUAAACAAAAACCUCUCUCGUGCCAUGGAUAAAGUAGGGUCCUUUGUUCAAGACCUGGUGACACCAUUUAAAGGAACACCCGUCUACUUACCCUAAAAUAGGGAAUGAGUGAAUUUCAUCUUAAAUAAUUAUGUUUCUAGCUCCCUAGUCGAUCUUGUUUCCAAAAAGAUAAGCUUAUUGAGUUGGCGAUCUGGCCACUCUCACCCGUACAAAUCAAAGGACAAUCCCUCGAAAAAAGGAGUUCAUAACACACUCAGGAUUAAGAUUAAGUUACCUAGGUCAUCCUAAUGAAAUAGAAACCUAACUAGUUAACGGAGUUACAUCUAGUGGUUACUAAUUUGCGGUUCGAUCUUAUGCAAACUCAUUGAAUAGGAUACUCUCACUCGCAUGUCAACUACACGAACGCAUUGGAUCAUUGUGCUUGUAUCAAAUACAAAGUGAGCCGUAUCAAUAGUGUUACCAAGAUAAGACACCCAACUUUAUCCCUAUACUAUAGACCCUUUAAGCUGAUUUUGAACAUCGAUCCUUAUAUGUCUCUAAAUACUGUUCAAGACUCAUUAAACAGCUUAGGAUGUUAGUUUAUUGGAUUUGGGUUAUUAAGACAAAACUAAUAAUUUAACCAAUAACAAUUAUUACAAUAAUAACACUUUAUUAAUAACGGUCAAUAGAUUAUAUUUACAAUCUACGAGUUUUAGAACAUAAAUUCCAACAAAUAUCUCACACAUCUUUGAUUGAAGCGUUUUGGAUUUCAGAUAUAGCGUAAAGUCUUGUAUGUUUUAGAAGAAAGGGGAAUAUUACUACUCCACCUACUAUUCCAAAAAGAGAUAUUUUUUCCAUAGUUGAUUGUCCAAGAAAAUUUUGUCUCAAACCAAUCUUUUCCUUUUAAAUAUGCAUUUCCACUCCUAAUUUUCCUUCAUUCUCCCAAAUGAGAUUUUUUGGAUUUUGCAUCGAUAAUUCUCUUUUCCAUAGGAAAUUGUUUACAUGGUGGUAAUGCCAAAGCCAUUUGCUCAAAAGUGCUCAAUUUGUGUUCUUUACUUUUAUGAUACUCAACCCUCUGACAGCUUACGGACGUGGAUAAAUCUAAUUUUAUAAGAUUGAAGUUAGAGUCUUUAUUAUUUCCUUUCCACAAAUAAUUUCUCCAAUGCCUUUAUCAACAUAUUUACUCAAGCGUUUAUCUACAUUUCUAUGUACAUUUUUGUUAGAUUGAUUAGACUUUAGACAUAUAUUUUCAUUGGCAUCCACUGGGUCACACAUGUUAGCAUUUUCAUCGAUAUAUUAAUAUAAUCACGUAAGAGUUUGGGUCAUUUUUGGUAAACAUGCUAUUAAAGCUUUAUGGAAGAGAAUCAUUUUUCCCCAAUGCAAUUGUAGUGUUUAAUUUUAAAAAUAAGUCGUUUUUGAAAAAAAUAAUUGAGACGUUUGAUCACAACUAUUCAAAAUAAUUUUUGAAACAUUUUCAAAAUUUAUUUUUGACUGUUUUUAUUAAAAGAGUUUAAAUCAAAAUAAUCUUUUUUGCAUCGAACUUGUGGGCUACGAGUCUUGCAUUUUUUAUUUGCAUUAAUGGAUCCUUUUAUCUUGUGUAUGAUAAGAGCGCUAAGAAGGUAUCAACUUAGUUGGUAUGUUCGGGUGCAUGUACUAAUUGUCUCUUGUUUACUAGUACUUAUUAAAAAUAUAAUUUUUUAAAACUAUUUUUUUUUCUCUAGUCAAUCCAAACACAUGUCCUCGUAACAUAUUUAUUCAAUCACUUAAGCGAAGUCAAUUCAAAUACACCUUUGAUUUCAUUAGCAACUAUGUAAUAUGAGAAAUAUGUUGUUGGAGCUCUCUCACGAAGACUACAUUGGAAGCUUAGUAAAUAUGUUAAUCAAUCAAAGUAAUUUUGUCCCCCACACACCUAAUUAGAAAUUUAAGCUAAGACACCAAAGGCUACCUUGUCUUUAUCCUUCCAUAAUGUUUCAAUAAUAUACUAUUGUCACGUGGUUAUUUUGAUCACAAAACCAACGUGCGGCACAAAGGUGUUGGGGUUGCACCAAUGUAAGCCUAAGAGUAAUUGGACUUGUUGGAACAAGCUAAGGAAGAAGAAAAUUCGUAGGUAAGAAGUAGACAAAGAGUUGUAGACAAGGUGUUUGAUAAAAUGCUUAAGAGAGCUUUGUUGAUGAAUUCCCAAAGAUUCUGUGUUGUCUGUACAAAUGGACCCCUUUGGGGUAUUUAUAGAAGUAUACAACUGACUUACAAGCCCUAAACCGCCUUACAAGGUCAGCAAAAACAAUCUGGAAAAUUUCUGAGCGUUCAUGACACUGUCCAGAAGUUUAGGGCCUUCUGGAGGCUUCCGCGCGCGCCUUCGCGCGUGUUCACGAGCCUUCUCGGCCGAUCGCGAUUCGUCUGGAAACUUCGAGACGUUCCUGGAUGCUUCUCCGUGCGCUCUGUGCGCUCUGUGUCCGCUUCCCGCACGCGCGUCCGACCGGCCUUGCGCGCGCGUCCGUGCCGCGCGCGCCUAUCUGCCGUGCGCAUCCUCUUGUCUGCCUGCCGCCCUUGCCAGUCUCCUGCACAUUGGCGUGUCAUAGGCUUGGCGUGAACUGGUUCCUUUUCCUUGGGUCUUUGGACUGCUUGGGACUUGGUUGGCUCCUCUUGGGCAAUGCUAAAGAGCCUUAAUUUGCGAAAAAUUUGUUGGGUCAUUUUUGAGGCGUGACAUCCUCCCCCACUCGAUUUUGCAACGUCCUCGUUGCGCUUUCUUGAAAUCUUCUGAUUUCAUCUUGAAAUUGCCAUAGGGUGUCUUCCUUUUCCCAACUUGCUUCGCUUUCGGGCUGUCCUUCCCAAGCAAUCAAAUAUUCGUUAUAACUGGGAACUCUUCUCCUUCGUAUCUUCCUCUCUGCUAAGAUCUCCUUGAUUUUCCUGUCGAACUCUGAGAUCAUGCCGGUAGGUGCACGAGAGGACUCACCUCUACUUGGAUCUUCCUUGUCUUCAAAGAAAGGCUUCAACAUGCUCACAUGGAAGACAUUAUGGAUCUUCAGUAUGGGAGGAAGUUCUAAUCGGUAAGCUGCUUUGCCCACUUUCUUGAUGAUAGAGAAGGGUCCUUCAUAUCUUCGGAUUAGGCCUUUAUGUACCUUGCGUAGAGAUUUAAACUGGUUAGGUAGCAGCUUUACCAUUACUUUUUCCCCUACUUGGUACUCUCUAGCCCUCCUUUUCCUAUCCGCCCACUUUUUCAUUUUACUGGCGGCCUUCGCCAGGCAUGCCCUCGAUAUAUCACAUUCUUCGUGCCAUUCCUUGAUUCUGUUAAGGAAAUCACUUCUGGACAUGCUGGUGGUUAUAGCAGCCAGUUUUGCCUUCUGGCUUACGACGUUAUUGACUGCAUCGGCGUUUUCUGACUUUGCCUCGGGCAUAACGUCCUUGUGUUCUGCUGGGACCGUUAAUUUAGGAUUUGUCUCUCUCGACGGUAUGCUUGAUGUUGGGUUUCGACGACUCCUUCCUUAUUUAGCAUGACUGACAAUCUGAUCGCUGGUUUUCCCUUCUUUAGUGGGAUGGUCGUUAUUUGACCAUCCACUAUCGUCAGGUACAUCCGGAGGAGUCAACGAUAGCAAUUACUCUAUCGAAGAACCCUAAGCCAAGCACGAUGUCAAAGUCAUCCAUAGGUAGCACGGUGAAGUCGAGCUUACCUUGCCAAUCACCGAUCUUGACUGUUACACCUCUUGCUACACCUUUGAUGGCUUGUGCUUUUGAGUUUACCGCCUUGACAGUCCCCUCUUCGUUUGUGAACUUGAGGCCUAUUCUCUUAGCCUCAUUCACGUUCAUGAAGUUAUGACUCGCACCGGUGUCAAACAUGGCAAUAGCCUCUCUCCCGUUUAUCUUUACAUUUCCAUGGAGUAGGCCUCCUUUAGUUGUUUGAUUGGCCUGUUUCAGAGCUCCAAUGUGUUGCAAGGAACCAAUCUGUGGUGUAUCAUCUCCUUGCUUGGACUCGAGCAAUUUGGCAACAAGUGCAUUCAUUGCUUUUCUAUUCGGACAGUCUCUUGUCCGAUGAGGGCCAUUACAAACAAAACAGGGAGAAGGUUUGGACGACUCACCUUGUUGAGUUUUGUGAUACUUGCCAUGUCUUUGGAAUGCCUUCUUUCCCUUUUCCUUUUGCUCGGAGUCUCUAUGCUUGUAGUGAUUGCCUUCACGUUUACUUGGGCUAGGUUUUCUCUCCUUUGAUUGGGUUGUAUAAUCGAUAAGCAUCUCAGCUGCGGCUAUAGCGUCGUCCAAUGUUUGGACAUUGCGACGGUCUAGCUCAACCUUGGCCCAAUCUUUCAAUCCAUCUCUAAAUUGGAAUAGGGCUUCCUUCUCGGGCAGAUCACUAAUUUCAAGCAUAAUAGUGGUAAAUUCCUUCACAUAGUCGAGAAUGUUACCUGUGUGUCGUAGCCUUCGAAGUUUGGCUCUUGACUCCAUUUCGACAUUGUGGGGAACAAAGUGCUUUCUUAGUUCGGCCUUGAAUUGUUCCCACGUCUGGAUGGCAUUCCCAUUUUGGUCAGCGUAUCUUCGACGCCACCAAAGUUGUGCGGCAUCCCUUAGGAAUGUCGGGGUAUUGUUUAUCUUGGCCUCAUCAUCUCGAACACCGACAACUAUGUAGUAUCGGUCAAGGCCAAAGAGGAAGUUUUCCACGACCGUGGCAUUCCUCACCCCAUUGUAUGUGUCAGGUUUCGGCACUUUUAUGUGAGUAGUGCCUUGCACAGCGGUGUGUGUACUGGUGGAUGGACCGUCUCCACCAAAGUGCUUGGAACGACAUUCCAUGCAAAGAGUAUCUACCUUUGCAUCUAGGGAAAUAUACUUAGAAUAGAGUUCGCGUAACUCACCUUCAACAAAUGUCUUCGAAAGUUUUGAUGACAACUCUUUCAAAUCCUUUUGGAAUGUUUUUCCAAGGUCGGCCACGAGCUCCUUGGUUGCUGCGGAGAUUUCCACAUUCUCCUGAAUAAGCUCUUCGUAGUUAUCACCCAACUCUUCUACCGUGUGCUGGACAUCCUCGAGACUUUGCUCAAGGUUGGCAAGGCGAGUUUCGACAUGCUCCCUUGCAUCCGGACCCUUAGAUUUCGAUCGUCGGGUCGGGGAUCGUCGGUCCUUCCUACCUCGUGUGAUAGGUCCUUCAAGAACCUGCUCAGCUUGGGCUGAAAUGUGGCCUUCUUC